RNAcentral lists this ribosomal RNA (192 nucleotides) under uncultured rumen bacterium. RNAcentral's name for it is "partial 16S ribosomal RNA". It matches the Rfam family "Bacterial small subunit ribosomal RNA", at positions 340 to 524 of the family's 1533-position model. The record is from RNAcentral.
UACGGGAGGCAGCAGUGGGGAAUCUUCCGCAAUGGGCGCAAGCCUGACGGAGCAACGCCGCGUGAGUGAAGAAGGUUUUCGGAUCGUAAAGCUCUGUUGUCAGGGACGAGAGACUUGAUCAGGAAAUGGGUCAAGGAGGACGGUACCUGACGAGAAAGCCACGGCUAACUACGUGCCAGCAGCCGCGGUAAU